UACGGAAGGUGCAAGCGUUGUUCGGAAUGACUGGGCGUAAAGCGCACGUAGGCGGGUUCGCAAGUAGGAUGUGAAAGCCCAGGGCUCAACCCUGGAAUGGCACCCUAAACUACGAACCUUGAAUGCUUGAGAGGUUGGUGGAAUUCCUGGUGUAGGAGUGAAAUCCGUAGAUAUCAGGAGGAAUAUCGGAGGCGAAGGCGGCCAACUGGUGGUGCAUUGACGCUGAGGUGCGAAAGCGUGGGGAGCAAACAGG
RNAcentral lists this ribosomal RNA (253 nucleotides) under uncultured bacterium. Its description in RNAcentral is "partial 16S ribosomal RNA". It matches the Rfam family "Bacterial small subunit ribosomal RNA", at positions 524 to 776 of the family's 1533-position model. The record is from RNAcentral.